RNAcentral lists this ribosomal RNA (639 nucleotides) under uncultured bacterium. Its description in RNAcentral is "bacterial SSU rRNA". It matches the Rfam family "Bacterial small subunit ribosomal RNA", at positions 8 to 649 of the family's 1533-position model. The record is from RNAcentral.
AGAGUUUGAUCAUGGCUCAGGAUGAACGCUGGCGGCGUGCUUAACACAUGCAAGUCGAACGAAGCAUGUAAAACAAUCCUUCGGGUGCGUUUUAUAUGACUGAGUGGCGGACGGGUGAGUAACGCGUGGGGAACCUGCCGUAUGCAGGGGGACAACAGUCAGAAAUGACUGCUAAUACCGCAUAAGCACACAAUGCUGCAUGGCAUGGUGUGAAAAGAUUUAUCGGCAUACGAUGGCCCCGCGUCUGAUUAGCCAGUUGGCAGGGUAACGGCCUACCAAAGCAACGAUCAGUAGCCGGCUUGAGAGAGUGACCGGCCACAUUGGGACUGAGACACGGCCCAGACUCCUACGGGAGGCAGCAGUGGGGAAUAUUGCACAAUGGGGGAAACCCUGAUGCAGCGACGCCGCGUGAGUGAUGAAGUAUUUCGGUAUGUAAAGCUCUAUCAGCAGGGAAGAUAAUGACGGUACCUGACUAAGAAGCUCCGGCUAAAUACGUGCCAGCAGCCGCGGUAAUACGUAUGGAGCAAGCGUUAUCCGGAUUUACUGGGUGUAAAGGGAGCGCAGACGGCAGGGCAAGUCUGAUGUGAAAGUCCGGGGCUCAACCCCGGGACUGCAUUGGAAACUGUCCGGCUAGAGUGC